Molecule: ribosomal RNA, 439 nt
Filed under: uncultured bacterium
Lineage: Bacteria
Description: partial 16S ribosomal RNA
Rfam family: Bacterial small subunit ribosomal RNA
Source: RNAcentral
CCUACGGGUGGCUGCAGUGGGGGAUAUUGCACAAUGGGGGGAACCCUGAUGCAGCGAUGCCGCGUGGGUGAAGAAGCGCCUCGGCGCGUAAAGCCCUGUCAGCAGGGAAGAAAAUGACGGUACCUGAAGAAGAAGCCCCGGCUAAUUACGUGCCAGCAGCUGCGGUAAUACGUGGGGGGCAAGCGUUAGCCGGAUUUACUGGGUGUAACGGGGGCGCAGACGGCGUUGCAAGCCGGGGGUGAAAGCCGGGGGCGCAACCCGGGGAAGGUCGUGAGAACGGCGGGGUUGAGGGCAGGGAGGGGCGGGGGAAUUCCAUGUGGAGCGGGAAAAUGCGGAGAUAUAGGGAAGAACACCAGUGGCGAAGGCGGGCGUCUGGACUGGCACUGACGGUGAGGGCCGAAAGGGUGGGGAGCAAACAGGAUUAGAUACCCCUGUAGUC